CCUACGGGAGGCAGCAGUGGGGAAUUUUGGACAAUGGGCGAAAGCCUGAUCCAGCAAUGCCGCGUGAGUGAAGAAGGCCUUCGGGUUGUAAAGCUCUUUUGUCAGGGAAGAAACGGUGAGAGCUAAUAUCUCUUGCUAAUGACGGUACCUGAAGAAUAAGCACCGGCUAACUACGUGCCAGCAGCCGCGGUAAUACGUAGGGUGCAAGCGUUAAUCGGAAUUACUGGGCGUAAAGCGUGCGCAGGCGGUUUUGUAAGUCUGAUGUGAAAUCCCCGGGCUCAACCUGGGAAUUGCAUUGGAGACUGCAAGGCUAGAAUCUGGCAGAGGGGGGUUAGAAUUCCACGUGUAGCAGUGAAAUGCGUAGAUAUGUGGAGGAACACCGAUGGCGAAGGCAGCCCCCUGGGUCAAGAUUGACGCUCAUGCACGAAAGCGUGGGGAGCAAACAGGAUUAGAUACCCUGGUAGUCCACGCCCUAAACGAUGUCUACUAGUUGUCGGGUCUUAAUUGACUUGGUAACGCAGCUAACGCGUGAAGUAGACCGCCUGGGGAGUACGGUGCAAGNUUAAAACUCAAAUGAGUAGAGNGNGAGACGAGCGAGGACGACGACGAGGGAGGAGG
This 618-nucleotide ribosomal RNA is filed under the name uncultured bacterium. Its description in RNAcentral is "bacterial SSU rRNA". It matches the Rfam family "Bacterial small subunit ribosomal RNA", at positions 338 to 951 of the family's 1533-position model. The record is from RNAcentral.